GUGGGGAAUAUUGGGCAAUGGGGGAAACCCUGACCCAGCAACGCCGCGUGAAGGAAGAAGGUUUUCGGAUCGUAAACUUCUAUCCUUGGUGAAGAUAAUGACGGUAGCCAAGAAGGAAGCCCCGGCUAACUACGUGCCAGCAGCCGCGGUAAUACGUAGGGGGCAAGCGUUGUCCGGAAUGAUUGGGCGUAAAGGGCGCGUAGGCGGCCUGGUAAGUCUGGAGUGAAAGUCCUGCUUUUAAGGUGGGAAUUGCUUUGGAUACUGUCGGUCUUGAGUGCAGUAGAGGUAAGCGGAAUUCCCGGUGUAGCGGUGAAAUGCGUAGAGAUCGGGAGGAACACCAGUGGCGAAGGCGGCUUACUGGACUGUAACUGACGCUGAGGCGCGAAAGUGUGAGGAGCAAACAGGAUUAGAUACCCUUGUAGUCC
Molecule: ribosomal RNA, 425 nt
Filed under: uncultured bacterium
Lineage: Bacteria
Description: partial 16S ribosomal RNA
Rfam family: Bacterial small subunit ribosomal RNA
Source: RNAcentral